AUGGGUUAUCGAUCCCAGACAAUUCGGGAAUAUCGAUCCCAAAGAAUCCAUGGGUUAUCGAUCCCAGACAAUUCAGGAAUAUCGAUCCCAAAGAAUCCAUGGGUUAUUGAUCCCAGACAAUUCGGGAAUGUCNNNNNNNNNNNNNNNNNNNNAUCAGGAUCGGAUCGGGAUCGGGAUCGGGAUCGGGAUCUGGAUCAGGAUCGAUCGGGAUCGGGAUCAGGAUCAGGAUCGGAUCGGGAUCAGGAUCAGGAUCAGAUCAGGAUCGGAUCGGGAUCGGGAUCAGGAUCAGGAUCAGAUCAGGAUCUGGAUCGGGAUCAGGAUCGGAUCAGGAUUGGAUCGAGAUCGGGAUCGGGAUCAGGAUCAGGAUCAGAUUCGGAUCGGGAUCAGGAUCUGGAUCGGGAUCAGGAUCGGAUUGGGAUCGGGAUCAGGACCAAGAUCAGGAUCAGGAUCGGAUCGGGAUCAGGAUCGGAUCGGGAUCAGGAUCAGGAUCAGGAUCAGGAUCAGGAUCAGGAUCAGGAUCAGGAUCAGGAUCAGGAUCAGGAUCAGGAUCAGAUUCGGAUCGGGAUCAGGAUCGGAUCAGGAUCGGAUCAGGAUCGGAUCAGGAUCAGGAUCAGGAUCGGGAUCAGGAUCAGGAUCAGGAUCAGAUUCGGAUCGGGAUCAGGAUCAGGAUCGGAUCAGGAUCAGGAUCAGGAUCAGAUCGGGAUCGGAUCAGGAUCAGGAUCAGGAUCAGAUCGGGAUCAGGAAUGGGAUCAGGAAUGGGAUCGGGAAUUCCGAUCCCGCUGCUGCUCCCGGUUCUCUCCGCGCUCCAUUCCCGCGGAUUCCGUCCCGUGGAAGGUGAGUUUUUGGGAUCGGGAAUCGCUCGGAUGGGAAAAGAACCCAAAAAAAUCCCGGGAAUGUCGGGGGAAAAAAAAUCCUGGAAUACGGAACCCAAAAAAUUCGGGAAUAACGGAGGUGUUCCCAAAGAAUUCCAGGAUUCCCAAUGGUUUGGGAAUAUGGAAGCUCUGA
RNAcentral lists this long non-coding RNA (1005 nucleotides) under Cyanistes caeruleus (blue tit). RNAcentral's name for it is "lncRNA (ENSCCEG00000018684.1)". Lineage: Eukaryota; Metazoa; Chordata; Aves; Passeriformes; Paridae. The record is from RNAcentral.